CCAGACCGCACCAAAACUUCAUGAGACCUCUCCUUGUCUGUGCAAGGAAGAGUGGCCAACUCUGUAGCUCGGGCCGUUCCUUCCCACUCUGGCGGUGAAUCCUCCAUAGUCUGCAGUUAGAUCAACAGGCCAACACUUCCACCAUAACUGCAAAUUUGAAUGCGGAUGAAUGGAUUACAACACGUUCAAGCCUUACAAUGAGAGGCAUUAUAAGAUGAGAGGCCGACUCUGGAGUCCACGCUGUUGCUUCCCAGUCUGAUGGUGAAUCCUCCAUAGUCUGGAGAGUGUAAAUAUAUAUAUCUCUUUUCCCUUCUCCCCUUCCCAUUGCAGUUUGCUUAUUAUAUCAUUUGCUUAUUAUAUCGUUUGCUUAUUUUAAUUUGCUUAUUUUAUUAAUUUUCUUAUUAUAUCUGCAUUGCCAUUUACAUGGGAUAAAG
RNAcentral lists this long non-coding RNA (434 nucleotides) under Pan troglodytes (chimpanzee). Its description in RNAcentral is "long non-coding RNA NONPTRT000831". Lineage: Eukaryota; Metazoa; Chordata; Mammalia; Primates; Hominidae. The record is from RNAcentral.